Molecule: ribosomal RNA, 407 nt
Filed under: uncultured microorganism
Description: bacterial SSU rRNA
Rfam family: Bacterial small subunit ribosomal RNA
Source: RNAcentral
CAGCCGCCGCGGUAAUACGUAGGGGGCGAGCGUUCCCCGGAUUCACUGGGCGUAAAGGGGGUGUAGGCGGCUCGGUAAGUCGGGUGUGAAAUCCCACGGCUCAACCGUGGAAUUGCGCCCGAAACUGCCGAGCUUGGGGCCGGUAGAGGGAGACGGAACUGCCGGUGUAGGGGUGAAAUCCGUAGAUAUCGGCAGGAACGCCGGUGGGGAAGCCGGUCUCCUGGGCCGCGCCCGACGCUGAGGCCCGAAAGCUAGGGGAGCAAACCGGAUUAGAUACCCGGGUAGUCCUAGCCGUAAACGAUGCCCACUAGGUGUGGGGGAGUAUUUCCUCCGUGCUGUAGCUAACGCGUUAAGUGGGCCGCCAGGGGAGUACGCCCGCAAGGGUGAAACUUAAAGGAAUUGGCGGG